GCCUGGAUGGCUCAGUUGGUUAAGUGUCUGACUCUUGAUUUCAACUUGGGUCGUAGUCCCAGUGUCGUGGGAUCGAGUCCCACUUCAGGUU
This 91-nucleotide transfer RNA is filed under the name Ailuropoda melanoleuca (giant panda). It matches the Rfam family "tRNA". From Rfam's summary of the family: Transfer RNA (tRNA) molecules are approximately 80 nucleotides in length. Their secondary structure includes four short double-helical elements and three loops (D, anti-codon, and T loops). Further hydrogen bonds mediate the characteristic L-shaped molecular structure. tRNAs have two regions of fundamental functional importance: the anti-codon, which is responsible for specific mRNA codon recognition, and the 3' end, to which the tRNAs corresponding amino acid is attached (by aminoacyl-tRNA synthetases). tRNAs cope with the degeneracy of the genetic code in two manners: having more than one tRNA (with a specific anti-codon) for a particular amino acid; and 'wobble' base-pairing, i.e. permitting non-standard base-pairing at the 3rd anti-codon position. Lineage: Eukaryota; Metazoa; Chordata; Mammalia; Carnivora; Ursidae. The record is from Rfam by way of RNAcentral.